AGAUUGAACGCUGGCGGCAUGCCUUACACAUGCAAGUCGAACGGCAGCACGGGGGGUAACCCCUGGUGGCGAGUGGCGAACGGGUGAGUAAUAUAUCGGAACAUGCCCUGUAGCGGGGGAUAACGCGUCGAAAGAUGUGCUAAUACCGCAUACGCUCUACGGAGGAAAGCGGGGGUCGCAA
This 181-nucleotide ribosomal RNA is filed under the name uncultured soil bacterium. Its description in RNAcentral is "partial 16S ribosomal RNA". It matches the Rfam family "Bacterial small subunit ribosomal RNA", at positions 26 to 205 of the family's 1533-position model. The record is from RNAcentral.